This 559-nucleotide small RNA is filed under the name Drosophila virilis. Its description in RNAcentral is "GJ26987". The record is from RNAcentral. Lineage: Eukaryota; Metazoa; Arthropoda; Insecta; Diptera; Drosophilidae.
UCAAGCAACUCAGAACAAAGGCUAAAUUAGAAUAUUAAACAACAUAUAACACACCAGUAUAUACAAGGUUUUAGUUUUUUAUUUUUUGGGCCUUUGUUUGGUUUUAUUUUGGUUGAAAGCAGCUGACUUUGACCUUGCUAGAAAUUACAUGUACAACUUGUGUUGUGCAUAUACUUCACAGCCUACAUCAGGGCAUUAUAGCUAGGCCAUGACUUUUGUUUCAUGUGGUUUCUUUUUAAAACACUAACAAACAAUGAAUAUUCUGAAAUUAAAGAAAUGCUGUUGUUGUUGUGUCGAUUUGCGCUGUGGCUGUGUCAUAAUCUAUGCGAUCGAGUUCUUUUUUGCUGUCUGCGGUCUUUGCCUGGGUGAAUGGUCUGAAAAUAAUCACUUUUGGAUAGUGUUACGCAUCGGUUAUAUGGCGCACCUGAUUGGCACCGUUUUUCUGCUCAUGGGCAUCAUUUUAAAAUCGCCUAGCUUUUUGAUGGUUUAUUUGGUAACAAAUGGCAUACACGUUUUUACCAGCACUACAUACCUCAUUCUCUGGGCUUUGCGAUGUGUU